RNAcentral lists this long non-coding RNA (2062 nucleotides) under Nicotiana tabacum (common tobacco). Its description in RNAcentral is "long non-coding RNA (NTAB_LNC005764)". The record is from RNAcentral. Lineage: Eukaryota; Viridiplantae; Streptophyta; Magnoliopsida; Solanales; Solanaceae.
UCCGCCACAACAUCACCAUCAACCAAUUCAGUACCCACCAACCACCACUUACCACAAUCCCCAAAACACACCACAAUUCAUUCUCGAUCCUAACUCAACCAAUGACCAUCAUUACACCCAAGUCUCUGGCACUCAUUGUCAUGCCCCAACCUUGGGAGGCGUGGCUGGCACCCGGUGCCGUACUGGCCUAAGCGAAUCACUCUGUAACUCAUUCAUUCCUUGUGUAACUAUCAUGUGCCAAAUCACUACAACUCGUAAUGUACAAUUGUAAGUGGGAAAAUGUUAUAUUAAUGAACCAUCGUUCAUAAAACAUUAAUAAAUAUGGAUCGUCAAGGCCUCUAACAUACUGUACAACAUGGACCUCCAUCUACAAAGCCUCUAAGAUUAUUUAACAUCAAAUGGGAUAGGGUAUCGGCUGACCCAUAAGUAUGUAGUAAAACUCUGACACGAUGACUCAUAGACUCGGCUGCACUCCGAAUGAGGUGGAGUCUUACCGAUCCUUCACUGAAUGCCAAUCUCGUCUACGAUGAGGGCUCGUCAAACUGAUUAUCUAUACCUGCAGGUAUGAAUGUAGCGUCCCCAACAAAAAGACGUCAGUACGAAUAAUAUACCUAGUAUGUAAGGCAGAACUGAAAUAUAACAAUAAGUCAACAUUAAUUAAUGACAUAUGAGAAUCAACCUGCAUCUCUGAAGCGCCACCAUAUAUUCAUACUUGCAUAUAUAAUGCUUCACUUUGAGACUAUUAUUCAUAUCGUAUGAUGCAUGACUGCCCAACUGAUUAGUGGUAACUGCCCGACCGGCCGUAGCGCGGUGCUAAAUGCAUGACUGCCCGACCGGCCGUAGCUCGGUGGUGAAUAUGUAACUGCCCAACCGACCGUAGCUCGAUGGUAAAUGUGUAACUACCCAACCGGCCGUAGCUCGGUGGUAAAUAUGUAACUGCCCAACCGGCCGUAGCUCCAUGGUAACUGUGUAAUUGCCCAACCGGUGGUAAAUACAUGAAGAUGCAUGUAUUACUAUGUUAUAACAUUAACAUCUUUAUCAAAUACCUCAAUAAAGACUUAGGAGCAUACUUGGACAUGCUUGAAUAUCACUUUAUAUGAAUGAAUAAUACAGACAUCCUUAACUGCUAAGAGCAGAACCACUUAUGGAAUAACAUUACGUUUACGUAUCGUUACUUGGAUCAUGCCAAAAGAAAUAAGGGAUAACCUUAACAUACCUAAGCCGUUUCUCUUGAAACACGACUAAACUGACGUUUAUGGCUAGCUCAAGUUUGACCUUUGAAAAUGCUAUCGCACUGCUUGCUUGUUGAAUGAAAUACUAUAAGGGAAGAAGAGAAUUGGCCGAGGAAUUUCCUCUUUUCAAUUAAGCGGAUUGUACAACUCUAACUUUGGUUACCUAUCCAGAAAGGAAACUUCAUCUUGCAGAAGACCUAGAUUAAAGAAGGUUUACUAUCAUCUGUAGAGAAACGUCGAAUAACUUCAUGGCACUUAUACCAAAUAGGAGGUUAAUGAUUCAGUAGAGCUUCGACAUGAUACUUCUUCAGGAAUCAAGAGCAUCUCCAUGUUCUCGUAAAGGUGUCACCCUUCAAAUAUUAACAUUUAUCGACCUCAGCACCUCAACCCAUAGUCUCACAAAAUAAUCCACAUCAAUCAAUACCAUAACGUAAUAGCCAAUGCAACUUCUCAUAAAAUUGAAACCGAAUAAGAAGUCACUUUGAACAUCAACAAUUCUUUAUCCUUUUCUCCCUACAGAGAGUGGUUGAGCAUGUCGAGUAAUCCAUUAUCCCUCAAAAUGCAUCGUAAAGACAAUACAACCCCCAUAACUUAUUCAUUGAAAUAUAAUGAUCCCACAAGCAAGAAAUUUGAGAAAAAUUAACACGAUCCAAUAGAAUAAAAAGAAUGAGUCUUCGUGAUUGAUUAGCAAUGCAUCUCCCAGAAGAGUCUGGUUGAAAGCAUUUAAGUAAAAUUGUCAUUCAAUUUCUAUUAAGCGAACAAUCUGAAUAAAGACAAUCAGAAGGAUAUAUAUUGCCUUCUAUUCGGACUUUACCUCACCACCGCCCCUA